RNAcentral lists this ribosomal RNA (301 nucleotides) under uncultured bacterium. Its description in RNAcentral is "partial 16S ribosomal RNA". It matches the Rfam family "Bacterial small subunit ribosomal RNA", at positions 509 to 808 of the family's 1533-position model. The record is from RNAcentral.
CAGUAGCGCGGUAAUACGAAGGGGGCUAGCGUUGCUCGGAAUCACUGGGCGUAAAGGGUGCGUAGGCGGGUCUUUAAGCCAGGGGUGAAAUCCUGGAGCUCAACUCCAGAACUGCCUUUGAUACUGAAGAUCUUGAGUUCGGGAGAGGUGAGUGGAACUGCGAGUGUAGAGGUGAAAUUCGUAGAUAUUCGCAAGAACACCAGUGGCGAAGGCGGCUCACUGGCCCGAUACUGACGCUGAGGCACGAAAGCGUGGGGAGCAAACAGGAUUAGAUACCCCUGUAGUCCCUGUCUCUUAUACA